UGGGGAAUUUUGGACAAUGGGCGCAAGCCUGAUCCAGCCAUUCCGCGUGAGUGAAGAAGGCCUUCGGGUUGUAAAGCUCUUUCGCAAGGGAAGAAAACUUACUUUCGAAUAAAGAGUGAGGUUGACGGUACCUUGAUAAGAAGCACCGGCUAACUACGUGCCAGCAGCCGCGGUAAUACGUAGGGUGCGAGCGUUAAUCGGAAUUACUGGGCGUAAAGCGUGCGCAGGCUGUUUUGUAAGUCAGAUGUGAAAUCCCUGGGCUCAACCUAGGAACUGCGUUUGAAACUACAAGGCUAGAGUGUAGCAGAGGGGGGUAGAAUUCCACGUGUAGCAGUGAAAUGCGUAGAGAUGUGGAGGAAUACCAAUGGCGAAGGCAGCCCCCUGGGUUAACACUGACGCUCAUGCACGAAAGCGUGGGGAGCAAACAG
This 428-nucleotide ribosomal RNA is filed under the name uncultured bacterium. RNAcentral's name for it is "bacterial SSU rRNA". It matches the Rfam family "Bacterial small subunit ribosomal RNA", at positions 355 to 775 of the family's 1533-position model. The record is from RNAcentral.